Molecule: non-coding RNA, 740 nt
Organism: Neolamprologus brichardi
Lineage: Eukaryota; Metazoa; Chordata; Actinopteri; Cichliformes; Cichlidae
Source: the annotation of a RefSeq genome assembly
CCUCCUCUCUAUGGAAAUGAUUUCUCUGCUCUCAACACACUGAAGACAACAUGGGAUAGAAAGUCAGAAGAAAAAUUGUUUGGAUUAUUUUAUUAUACAUACAACUUGAGUGAUACUACUUUUCUAACAACAAGACAAUAUUAGAAGCAAUAUUUUUGAUAUGUAAAUUAAUUAUUAUUGCAUAAUUAUGAUUCUGACAAAAUACUGGCAAAUAUAUUAGGAAAGAUGAGAUCAGUUUUUUGGAUCUGGAUUAAAAUGCCACAUUUGUUGCUGGCCCCAUGGUCAGACCCUCAGUCUCUCUGCUCCAACCCUCCUCUGAGAAGCUCUCUGGAGGCCCAGUCACACUGGCCUGCCUGCUGACCAGCUACUCUCCUCAGGGAGCUGAAGUGAGAUGGGAAGUAGAUGGCACCGAGGUGACAGAGGGGGUCCUGAACAGCUUAGAAGAAGAGAAGAGUAGUCGCUACAGCAGCAGCAGCACCCUGAUGCUGAGCCAAGAGAACUGGAUGAACGCAGAGGUGUUCUCCUGCAGGGUGAACCAUCAUGACUACUGGCAGUCCAAGUCCUUCCGCAAGAACCGGUGUGAGGGCUAGAGGGGCUGCUGAAGUCCAGGACAGGAGCUUAGUGUGGGGGAGCAGGAGAUACAUCCCUGCUGCUCUGAUCAAUAUGAGUUUGAAAGUUUGCACAUGAAAUUAUUAUUAUAACAACAACUCAGAUAGUGACAUGUGUAGCAGCUGGAUGUG